This 99-nucleotide transfer RNA is filed under the name Nanobdellota archaeon. RNAcentral's name for it is "tRNA-Val". It matches the Rfam family "tRNA". Rfam says of the family: Transfer RNA (tRNA) molecules are approximately 80 nucleotides in length. Their secondary structure includes four short double-helical elements and three loops (D, anti-codon, and T loops). The record is from RNAcentral. Lineage: Archaea; Nanobdellati; Nanobdellota.
GGGCCUGUGGUCUAGCGGCUAACUUCUAAAGAUAAAAAGUCCGCAAAUGACGUCACCCUUACAAGGUGAAGGUCCCCGGUUCAAAUCCGGGCAGGCCCA